Molecule: long non-coding RNA, 1131 nt
Organism: Myotis daubentonii (Daubenton's bat)
Lineage: Eukaryota; Metazoa; Chordata; Mammalia; Chiroptera; Vespertilionidae
Source: RefSeq, a predicted model, not a curated record
CUGCAGAGUCCCAGACGCUUUGGACACGGUGCGGAGUUGGCCCGGGCUUUCCAACACAGUGAGCCGCUGUCAGGAUCCCUCCCCAGGGUCCAGCGGGCCUGGAGGAGGGAAUGACAGGUGGACGGCGGUGGGACUGACGGCCAGGUUCUCCCGCUGCAGUGGUCCCACUGGGAUUCUGGAGGACAAGAGCAGAUCCCUUGCAGGAGUCUCUCUUUUCACAUGACCGGCCAGAGGACCCCUGAACAUGGGCAUGUCCCCUGGGCGGAAUCCCACCCUGGUGCUCACUGGGAAGAGGACGGAGGGCGAGGGUCCCGUGUGGGAGGAACAGGGCAGCAGGCAGCCACGUGUCCACCCUCAGGGUGCAGCCUGGGUCCAGCAAGCCCUUCCCUCUUGCCCAUCUGCUCCGCGGAGCGGACCCAGCUGGGCUGUCCUUCCGCGAGUGGACAGAUGGUGGUGAAGUCCCCAUUGACCCGCCGAUGGCUUCCUCGGGUUCACGGAGAACAGGCUCCUGCUGUGAGGCUCCCAUCACACGGCUGACGGCAGCCUCCUCCACCAGCGCGUUUAUCUAAGAGGCAACCCAAGCUGGCUUCUCCCCGGAGCAGUACGUCCCCAUCUCAUCUCUCCCCACAGCUCAUUCGGGCUCUAGGAAUCUGAGGCAGCCGUUUCCCAGCCCUCCUGCCAAGGAGGACCCGCUGGUGGAUGAAGGCCGAGGCUCUCCUGCACAGCGCGGCACACAAGCCGGCCAUCUGGGGAGGCGGGGCGUCCGAUUCCUGCUGCCCGAGCUCGGCCAGAUGCCCCAGACGUGGGUGCUGUGCAGGAUGGUGCCCAUCUGUGUUUGUUUGGGAGGCGCGUGGCACCCGUCAUUAUCUGUGUGGCCUUGAGCAAACUCAUUAACUUCUCUGAACCUCAGCUGUCUCAUUGGUAACAAGGGUUUCUAAGGGCCUCUCGGUAGUGCUUUGAGAUUUAAAUGCAAUCACCCAGGUGCAGUGCCCCGCCCACGGCUGGGCACAUAGCAGCUCUCAGGAAUGGCGCGUGGGCAGAGGUGUUUGAUUCAGGGCAUGUUUCUGAAGGACAGCAGGCCAGCUGUUUUUGUUUGGGACAAUGUCAAUACAAAAAAAAAAAAAAAAAGAA